RNAcentral lists this ribosomal RNA (360 nucleotides) under uncultured bacterium. RNAcentral's name for it is "partial 16S ribosomal RNA". It matches the Rfam family "Bacterial small subunit ribosomal RNA", at positions 338 to 697 of the family's 1533-position model. The record is from RNAcentral.
CCUACGGGAGGCAGCAGUGAGGAAUAUUGGUCAAUGGCCGGAAGACUGAACCAGCCAAGCCGCGUGAGGGACGAAGGUCCUCUGUAUUGUAAACCUCUUUUGUAAGGGAAGAAUAACUGCUACGUGUCGCAUGAUGCCUGUACCUUAUGAAUAAGCAUCGGCUAACUCCUUGCCAGCAGCCGCGGUACUACGGAGGAUGCGAGCGUUAUCCGGAUUUAUUGUGUUUAAAGGGUGCGGAGGGGGUUGGUUAAGUUAGGGGUUAAACGUGGGGCUUAACCUUGAUGUGCCAUUUAUACUGGAAGACUCGAGUUGAGAAGAGGUAGGCGGAAUAAGCUAAGUAGCGGUGAAAUGCGUAGAUAU